CAGGCUCCUAAAUUUCUUUCUUCAACGACCACAGCGUACAGUUGGGCAGCUAUUCAACACAUCCAUUCCCAAAGAGCUUUCACAUUUAAUUAUUGCUGUUUUAUCGGAGGAUUCUAUUGGUGUACUAAGGAUUCUCGGCUUUCACAUUUAAUUAUUGCUGUUUUUUCGGUAAGUGUAGGUGACUGUUGAAACUCGAUGUUAUACAUUUAGGUGUAUGUUUUUUAUUUUGCUCAGUUCCCAAACAUUUUCAUUGAGAAGGAUUCUAUUGGUUCCCUCGCUCAGCGAAGAGGGGCAAUUUAAAAAAAAAUUGACCUAGUUUGGAAAAAAAAAAUGAUUAAAAACCAAGGUUUACACUAUACACUUGCCAUAACGUGCUAUACGUUUUUGUAAAGCCAAAAAAUUAUUUUUCAAAAUUUAAAUUUUGAAAAAAAAUUCAAAUUAAUUUUUUUCAAAAUUCAAAAUUGUAUGUUAUUAAGUACUAAUUUAGUUUAUAAAAUUCGUUGGUCAUAUUUAUUUUGAAACAAAAACAGAACCGGAUCCAGAAAUAUCUUGUCACUUUCGAGAAAUUAACAAAAGACCAAAACUACUUUUUUCUAAUAACCUCUUUAUUUUUUUUUUCACGUGCCGGACUUGUUGGUAAAUUCAUUUAUGAAACAUCAACCUUUCGUAUAAAAAUUCAGACUUGCAUGAGGAUACCACAAAGUGUUACAGUAUUGGAUCAACUUUUUUCAUUGACAACACCUAAAAACUCACCUGAGUAUUUUUCUAACUAUAGGCAUUUUUUUUUGGCAAAGUUAUCCAUGGUAGAAUUUCAGUUUUUCGUUUUUUGUUUUGUUUCAGAAAUUGAAAAUGAAUUAGUGGAAAAUAACUCAAUCCGAAGUUUUAAAUCUAAUAUAUAUUUACCGAGCAAAAGAAUGUUUGUGGAACUACAGAAGCAGCUACUAUAAAAGGACUGACUUAAAAAAGAAGGCAUGGGACGAUAUUGCGAAAGAGUUCAACAAAGACGUAAGUGAAAUAAAAAAAAAGUAAAAUAUCUCCGGUCAGCAUAUCGUCGCCCUAGAAUUGGGUUGCCGUAUAUACAUAGGUUUUCAAUAGCCUAUACGGCAGGGGCAACCCAAUUCUAGGGCGACGAUAUGUUGCGAAAAAAAAAAAAUUAGAUGACUCAAAAAAGUCUGGAGAUGGAGCAGAUGGCAUUUAUGCACACCUCUUUUUUUUCGAGGAGUUCAAAUUUUUGGACGAUAUAAUCGUUAUUAGAAAAACUAACAGCAACUUUUCAUUGGAUGACACACUGGAACGAACCGUUGGUUGAUGUAGUGAACGACACCCAAGAAAAUAACGAAUUUUCUUUUCCCCAAGAAAUUGAAGAGCCUUCACAAAUAACGACAGACAGACACAUAAGUGAUGAGGUUUUAUCUCCCCCAUUCCUACCACAACCAGCACCAUCUACAAAUACAUCACGGCGGCAAAAAAACCAUCCACAAAAUUAAUAAGUAUGAUGAUGGCAUAGCUGCCAUCCUAACCCCUUCAUUUGCAGCCCGAGAGUCUGAAAGCAAGUAUAGCGAUUUCGGAAAAAGCAUCGCUAAACAGCUUGAAGAAUUGACAACAAUCGAAGCUUCUUUAGCUAUGGGUGAGUUCCAGCAAGUUAUGUCCAAACGCGUCGUGGAAUCACUGCAGGCGUUCUUCACAUCACAUUCCACCUCCAGUAAUAUAAUAUUGGAUGCAAUGAUUAAAUCCCAAAUUUUAUAAUAAUUUUGUUUAUGUUGCAAUACUUUUUAAGGCUUGACCACACCGAAGGCUAUAUGCGGUAGCGGUACGGGUAAUUGUAUGAAAAAUA
Molecule: long non-coding RNA, 1834 nt
Organism: Episyrphus balteatus (marmalade hoverfly)
Lineage: Eukaryota; Metazoa; Arthropoda; Insecta; Diptera; Syrphidae
Exons: 4
Source: RefSeq, a predicted model, not a curated record